RNAcentral lists this ribosomal RNA (984 nucleotides) under Triticum aestivum (bread wheat). RNAcentral describes it as "partial small subunit ribosomal RNA". Lineage: Eukaryota; Viridiplantae; Streptophyta; Magnoliopsida; Poales; Poaceae. The record is from RNAcentral.
AUGGCUUGGCUGCGGCUGCUCGCCACCAUCCUAGCGCUGCUCGCCACUGCCGGGGUCGCGCACAGCUUCGAGUUCCAUGAGGACACCGUGGACGCCAUCCAGCUCGGCUUCCGCAACGGCAGCCUCACCUCGGCCGCCCUCGUCCGGUUCUACCUCGACCAGAUCCGCCGCCUCAAGCCGCUGCUGCACGCCGUCAUCGAGGUCAACCCGGACGCGCUCCGGCAGGCCAAGCGUGCCGACGCCGAGCGCCGUCGCGGCACAGCCACCGGCCCGUUGCAUGGGGUGCCCGUCCUGCUCAAGGACAACAUCGCCACCCGCGACGCUCUCAACACCACGGCCGGCUCGCUGGCGCUCCUCGGCUCCGUGGUGAAGCGCGACGCCGGCGUGGCGGCCAGGCUGCGGCGCGCUGGCGCUGUGGUGCUCGGCAAGGCCAGCCUCUCCGAGUGGGCCAACUUCCGCAACGUCCGCAAUGGGUGGAGUGCGCGCGGCGGGCAGACGCGCAACCCAUAUGUAUUGUCGUCCGACCCGUGCGGGUCGAGCUCUGGGUCAGGUGUGGCCGCGGCGGCGAACAUGGCGGCCGUGACGCUCGGCACCGAGACCGACGGCUCCAUACUCUGCCCGUCGUCGUUCAACUCCGUGGUCGGCAUCAAGCCCACCCUCGGGCUCACUAGCCGCGCCGGCGUCGUCCCCAUCACCACUAGACAGGACAGCGUUGGACCGAUGUGUCGGACAGUGUCGGAUGCAGUCCAUGUGCUGGAUGCCAUCGUCGGCUACGACAAGCUCGAUGCCGCGGCCACUCGAGCAGCAUCCAAGUACAUACCUUACGGCGGAUAUCUGCAGUUCCUGAAGAAGGAUGGGCUGAGAGGGAAGAGGAUUGGCGUCCCCAAUGUAUUAUUUCAACAAGGACUUGGAGAGAAGCAGAUGAGGGUGUACGAACAGCAGCUUGGCAGAAUGAGGUUAUUAUCAUACUUCAAAUCUCCCUGA